UGAAUACGAGAUGCUACGGCGUCGAAGCAGUGUAUGUCAGACUUCCAAGAAAAGCUCGCAAUGUCAUAAAUAAAGAAUGCCUGUACCAUAACCGACACAGGUGGGUAGGUAGAGUAUACUAAGGGGCGCGAGAUAACUCUCUCUAAGGAACUCGGCAAAAUAACUCCGUAACUUCGGGAGAAGGAGUGCCUUCUUUAAGAAGGUUGCAAUAACAAGAUCCAAGCAACUGUUUAUCAAAAACACAGGUCUCCGCUAAGUCGUAAGAAGAUGUAUGGGGGCUGACGCCUGCCCAGUGCCAGAAGGUUAAAGAAGUUGGUUAGCUUUUGCGAAGCUGAUGACUGAAGCCCUGGUGAACGGCGGCCGUAACGAUAACGGUCCUAAGGUAGCGAAAUUCCUUGUCGGGUAAGUUCCGACCCGCACGAAAGGCGUAAUGAUUUGGAUACUGUCUCGGAGAGGGACUCGGUGAAAUAGACUUGUCUGUGAAGAUGCGGACUACCUGCACCAGGACAGAAAGACCCUAUGAAGCUUUACUGUAACUUGAAAUUGAAAUUGGACUUUAUUUGCGCAGUAUAGGUGGAAGGCGUUGAAAGUAAUCUUGCGGGAUUAGUGGAGCCAUCAGUGAGAUACCACUCCUAUAAUGUUAGAUUUCUAACUUUGGAUCAUGAUCUGGUCAAAGAACAGUUUCAGGCGGGCAGUUUGACUGGGGCGGUCGCCUCCCAAAUGGUAACGGAGGCGUACAAAGGUUUCCUCUGAACGGGUAGAAAUCGUAUCUAGAGUGUAAAGGCAUAAGGAAGCUUGACUGUGAGACCUACAAGUCGAGCAGGGACGAAAGUCGGUCUUAGUGAUCUGACGGUGCUGAGUGGAAAGGCCGUCACUCAACGGAUAAAAGUUACUCUAAGGAUAACAGGCUGAUCUCCCCCAAGAGUUCACAUCGACGGGGAGGUUUGGCACCUCGAUGUCGGCUCAUCGCAUCCUGGGGCGGUAGUACGUCCCAAGGGUUGGGCUGUUCGCCCAUGAAAGCGGUACGCGAGCUGGGUUCAGAACGUCGUGAGACAGUUCGGUCCAUAUCCGGUGUAGGCGUUAGAAUAUUGAGAGGAGCCUUCUUUAGUACGAGAGGACCGAGAAGGACAUACCUCUGGUGUACCAGUUAUCGUGCCAACGGUAAACGCUGGGUAGCUAUGUAUGGAGAGGAUAACCGCUGAAAGCAUCUAAGUGGGAAGCCCACCUCAAGAUGAGUAUUCUCAC
RNAcentral lists this ribosomal RNA (1245 nucleotides) under metagenome. RNAcentral describes it as "bacterial LSU rRNA". It matches the Rfam family "Bacterial large subunit ribosomal RNA", at positions 1564 to 2817 of the family's 2925-position model. The record is from RNAcentral.